Bos taurus (domestic cattle) is the source of this 372-nucleotide long non-coding RNA. The record is from Ensembl. Lineage: Eukaryota; Metazoa; Chordata; Mammalia; Artiodactyla; Bovidae.
UGCAAGCGCCCUCUGCCCUCACUGAAUCCCUGCUAAAGCCACAGGUAGCUAGCUACUCUGGACGAAUAGCCUUUCCCCGGAGGCAGCAGGAAAGGACUCCGUGGGAAUGGCAGGGUUGACAAGAAGCCUGGUGAAGACACCGCCCAGAUAUGACUUUCGGGAGAAAGAAAACCAAAUUCCAGGGAAUUUCCUGGCUGACCGGUGGUUAGGACUCAGUGCUCGCACUGCUGAGGAUGCAGGUUCAGUCCGUGGUCCUGAAAGUAAGAUCCCACAAGCUGCAUGGCAGAGCAGGAAGAAAAAAAUUCCCAUCUUCUACCAGUUUACUAUUAGUAACAAAGUUGAUUUACCUAAUUAAAUCCAUUCUAAUUUUAA